AGAUUGAACGCUGGCGGCAUGCUUUACACAUGCAAGUCGAGCGGCAGCGCGGGGAGGGGCAACUCUCUCUGGCGGCGAGCGGCGAACGGGUGAGUAAUACAUCGGAACGUGUCCAGUAGUGGGGGAUAACCAGUCGAAAGAUUGGCUAAUACCGCAUACGAUCUACGGAUGAAAGCGGGGGACCGCAAGGCCUCGCGCUAUUGGAGCGGCCGAUGUCCGAUUAGCUAGUUGGCGGGUAAUGGCCCACCAAGGCGACGAUCGGUAGCUGGUCUGAGAGGAUGAUCAGCCACACUGGAACUGAGACACGGUCCAGACUCCUACGGGAGCAGCAGUGGGAAUUUUGGACAAGUGGGCGCAAGCCUGAUCCAGCCAGUGCCGCGUGAGUAGAACGAAGGCCUUCGGUUGUAAAGUCUUCGUUUCGGACGGGUACCGAAACGGUCCGUACGAACAACACCGAACGACUAAGUCGAACGUAC
Molecule: ribosomal RNA, 476 nt
Filed under: uncultured soil bacterium
Lineage: Bacteria
Description: bacterial SSU rRNA
Rfam family: Bacterial small subunit ribosomal RNA
Source: RNAcentral